CGCGUAAAGAACUUGCCUCACAGCUAGGGACAACAUUUAGAAAUGAAUGCUAAUACCUGAUAUUAUGAUUUUAAGGCAUCUUAGAAUUAUGAAAGCUAUAUGCGCUGUGAGAGAGCUUUGCGUCCCAUUAGCUAGUUGGAGAGGUAACAGCUCACCAAGGCGAUGAUGGGUAGCCGGCCUGAGAGGGUGAACGGCCACAAGGGGACUGAGACACGGCCCUUACUCCUACGGGAGGCAGCAGUC
This 243-nucleotide ribosomal RNA is filed under the name uncultured Fusobacterium sp. RNAcentral describes it as "partial 16S ribosomal RNA". It matches the Rfam family "Bacterial small subunit ribosomal RNA", at positions 114 to 355 of the family's 1533-position model. Lineage: Bacteria; Fusobacteriati; Fusobacteriota; Fusobacteriia; Fusobacteriales; Fusobacteriaceae. The record is from RNAcentral.